GGGGGCAUAGCUCAGUUGGUAGAGCACCUGAUUUGCAUUCAGGGGGUCAGGAGUUCGAGUCUCCUUGUCUCCACCA
Molecule: transfer RNA, 76 nt
Filed under: Verrucomicrobiota bacterium JB023
Lineage: Bacteria; Pseudomonadati; Verrucomicrobiota
Description: tRNA-Ala
Rfam family: tRNA
About the family: Transfer RNA (tRNA) molecules are approximately 80 nucleotides in length. Their secondary structure includes four short double-helical elements and three loops (D, anti-codon, and T loops).
Source: RNAcentral